Molecule: ribosomal RNA, 285 nt
Filed under: uncultured Hyphomicrobiales bacterium
Lineage: Bacteria; Pseudomonadati; Pseudomonadota; Alphaproteobacteria; Hyphomicrobiales
Description: uncultured Rhizobiales bacterium partial 16S ribosomal RNA
Rfam family: Bacterial small subunit ribosomal RNA
Source: RNAcentral
ACGAAGGGGGCUAGCGUUGCUCGGAAUCACUGGGCGUAAAGGGCGCGUANGCGGCCAUUUAAGUCGGGGGUGAAAGCCUGUGGCUCAACCACAGAAUUGCCUUCGAUACUGGGUGGCUUGAGUCCGGAAGAGGUUGGUGGAACUGCGAGUGUAGAAGUGAAAUUCGUAGAUAUUCGCAAGAACACCGGUGGCGAAGGCGGCCAACUGGUCCGGAACUGACGCUGAGGCGCGAAAGCGUGGGGAGCAAACAGGAUUAGAUACCCUGGUAGUCAAGGGCGAAUUCGC